RNAcentral lists this transfer RNA (73 nucleotides) under Runella sp. Its description in RNAcentral is "tRNA-OTHER". It matches the Rfam family "tRNA". From Rfam's summary of the family: Transfer RNA (tRNA) molecules are approximately 80 nucleotides in length. Their secondary structure includes four short double-helical elements and three loops (D, anti-codon, and T loops). Lineage: Bacteria; Pseudomonadati; Bacteroidota; Cytophagia; Cytophagales; Spirosomataceae. The record is from RNAcentral.
GCCGUUAUAGCUCAGGGGUAGAGCACUUCCUNNUGUAAGGAAGAGGCCCGGGGUUCAAAUCCCCGUAACGGCU